Molecule: small RNA, 29 nt
Filed under: Bombyx mori (domestic silkworm)
Lineage: Eukaryota; Metazoa; Arthropoda; Insecta; Lepidoptera; Bombycidae
Description: ovarian small RNA-13449
Source: RNAcentral
CCAAAAAGCAUGGCUCCCAGAGGGAGAGC